RNAcentral lists this ribosomal RNA (1309 nucleotides) under metagenome. RNAcentral's name for it is "bacterial SSU rRNA". It matches the Rfam family "Bacterial small subunit ribosomal RNA", at positions 217 to 1520 of the family's 1533-position model. The record is from RNAcentral.
GCCAUCGGAUGUGCCCAGAUGGGAUUAGCUAGUAGGUGGGGUAACGGCUCACCUAGGCGACGAUCCCUAGCUGGUCUGAGAGGAUGACCAGCCACACUGGAACUGAGACACGGUCCAGACUCCUACGGGAGGCAGCAGUGGGGAAUAUUGCACAAUGGGCGCAAGCCUGAUGCAGCCGUGCCGCGUGUAUGAAGAAGGCCUUCGGGUUGUAAAGUACUUUCAGCGGGGAGGAAGGGAGUAAAGUUAAUACCUUUGCUCAUUGACGUUACCCGCAGAAGAAGCACCGGCUAACUCCGUGCCAGCAGCCGCGGUAAUACGGAGGGUGCAAGCUUAAUCGGAAUUACUGGGCGUAAAGCGCACGCAGGCGGUUUGUUAAGUCAGAUGUGAAAUCCCCGGGCUCAACCUGGGAACUGCAUCUGAUACUGGCAAGCUUGAGUCUCGUAGAGGGGGGUAGAAUUCCGGGUGUAGCGGUGAAAUGCGUAGAGAUCUGGAGGAAUACCGGUGGCGAAGGCGGCCCCCUGGACGAAGACUGACGCUCAGGUGCGAAAGCGUGGGGAGCAAACAGGAUUAGAUACCCUGGUAGUCCACGCCGUAAACGAUGUCGACUUGGAGGUUGUGCCCUUGAGGCGUGGCUUCCGGAGCUAACGCGUUAAGUCGACCGCCUGGGGAGUACGGCCGCAAGGUUAAAACUCGAAUGAAUUGACGGGGGCCCGCACAAGCGGUGGAGCAUGUGGUUUAAUUCGAUGCAACGCGAAGAACCUUACCUGGUCUUGACAUCCACGGAAGUUUUCAGAGAUGAGAAUGUGCCUUCGGGAACCGUGAGACAGGUGCUGCAUGGCUGUCGUCAGCCCGUGUUGUGAAAUGUUGGGUUAAGUCCCGCAACGAGCGCAACCCUUAUCCUUUGUUGCCAGCGGUCCGGCCGGGAACUCAAAGGAGACUGCCAGUGAUAAACUGGAGGAAGGUGGGGAUGACGUCAAGUCAUCAUGCCCCUUACGACCAGGGCUACACACGUGCUACAAUGGCGCAUACAAAGAGAAGCGACCUCGCGAGAGCAAGCGGACCUCAUAAAGUGCGUCGUAGUCCGGAUUGGAGUCUGCAACUCGACUCCAUGAAGACGGAAUCGCUAGUAAUCGUGGAUCAGAAUGCCACGGUGAAUACGUUCCCGGGCCUUGUACACACCGCCCGUCACACCAUGGGAGUGGGUUGCAAAAGAAGUAGGUAGCUUAACCUUCGGGAGGGCGCUUACCACUUUGUGAUUCAUGACUGGGGUGAAGUCGGAACAAGGUAACCGUAGGGGAACCUGCGGUUG